RNAcentral lists this ribosomal RNA (447 nucleotides) under uncultured bacterium. RNAcentral's name for it is "bacterial SSU rRNA". It matches the Rfam family "Bacterial small subunit ribosomal RNA", at positions 355 to 825 of the family's 1533-position model. The record is from RNAcentral.
UGGGGAAUAUUGGACAAUGGGCGAAAGCCUGACCCAGCAACGCCGCGUGAAGGAUGAAGUAUUUCGGUAUGUAAACUUCGAAAGAAUAGGAAGAAUAAAUGACGGUACUAUUUAUAAGGUCCGGCUAACUACGUGCCAGCAGCCGCGGUAAUACGUAGGGACCAAGCGUUGUUCGGAUUUACUGGGCGUAAAGGGCGCGUAGGCGGCAUGACAAGUCACUUGUGAAAUCUCUGGGCUUAACCCAGAACGGCCAAGUGAUACUGUCGCGCUAGAGUGCAGAAGGGGCAAUCGGAAUUCUUGGUGUAGCGGUGAAAUGCGUAGAUAUCAAGAGGAACACCUGAGGUGAAGACGGGUUGCUGGGCUGACACUGACGCUGAGGCGCGAAAGCCAGGGGAGCAAACGGGAUUAGAUACCCCAGUAGUCCCUGAGCGGGCUGGCAAGGCGCAU